This 357-nucleotide ribosomal RNA is filed under the name Triticum aestivum (bread wheat). Its description in RNAcentral is "partial small subunit ribosomal RNA". Lineage: Eukaryota; Viridiplantae; Streptophyta; Magnoliopsida; Poales; Poaceae. The record is from RNAcentral.
AUGAAGUACAUGCACUGUCUUUGCGAAGGAUUGGAGCUCCCAGAGUUAGACAAAGGCAUUGCUUUUCCAGGGAUGGACUCUAUCGAGAAAGUUCUCGAGUUGGUGAAGAUUAUACAGUUAGAUGCUUACAAUUCUGGUAUUUUCAGUCAUGAAAGAGGGCAACAGCCAGAUGUAUGGCGUGCAUGUGAUGAGUCAUUUGGUAGAAAAGAAAAGGACACACACUGCAAAAAGAAGCAUGGAAAAGGUGCACCUCCUCCUGAGGAUUCUUUUGUACCUAUGGACGAUGGUAUGUUUCAUAUGUUGAAUGUCAAUGGGAAGGUGGAAAGUUUAUUUGCAGAGCAGCCCCCUCGUCCUUAA